This 274-nucleotide ribosomal RNA is filed under the name uncultured bacterium. RNAcentral describes it as "partial 16S ribosomal RNA". It matches the Rfam family "Bacterial small subunit ribosomal RNA", at positions 523 to 796 of the family's 1533-position model. The record is from RNAcentral.
AUACGGAGGGUGCAAGCGUUAUGCGGAAUCACUGGGCGUAAAGGACGCGUAGGCGGGUUGGCAAGUCAGAUGUGAAAUCCUACAGCUUAACUGUAGAACUGCAUUUGAAACUGCUAACCUAGAGUAUGGGAGGGGGAGAUGGAAUUAGUGGUGUAGGGGUAAAAUCCGUAGAUAUCACUAGGAAUACCGAAAGCGAAGGCGAUCUCCUGGAACAUAACUGACGCUAAGGCGUGAAAGCGUGGGGAGCAAACAGGAUUAGAUACCCCAGUAGUCC